RNAcentral lists this ribosomal RNA (253 nucleotides) under uncultured bacterium. RNAcentral's name for it is "partial 16S ribosomal RNA". It matches the Rfam family "Bacterial small subunit ribosomal RNA", at positions 524 to 776 of the family's 1533-position model. The record is from RNAcentral.
UACGUAGGGGGCUAGCGUUGUCCGGAUUUAUUGGGCGUAAAGAGCGUGUAGGCGGCCUGGUAGGUCUGCUGUGAAAACUCGAGGCUCAACCUCGAGAUGUCGGCGGAAACCAUCCGGCUAGAGUCCGGAAGAGGAGAGUGGAAUUCCUGGUGUAGCGGUGAAAUGCGCAGAUAUCAGGAGGAACACCAAUGGCGAAGGCAGCACUCUGGGACGUGACUGACGCUGAGACGCGAAAGCGUGGGGAGCAAACAGG